Long non-coding RNA from Homo sapiens (human), 764 nucleotides. Lineage: Eukaryota; Metazoa; Chordata; Mammalia; Primates; Hominidae. The record is from Ensembl.
GCCCAGGCAGUGAAUUUGCCUCACUCCCCAAGUUUCCACAAGGCCACAGGGAAUAGACUUGGUAGCCAACCACAGCCCCGAAGAUGGGAGAAAGCAAAGAAGGAAGAAUGAAGCAUGGGAGAGAAUGAAAGAGGAGAGGGGGAACUGAAGCUCUCAUCUUCCUCUUCUCUGAUGGAACACAAAGGACUCCAGCAAGCUAUACAGGAAGCAUGGAAGCAUAGCAGCUGCUUCUUCUGGGAAGGCCUCAGGAAGCUUUCAAUCACGACAGAAGGCAAAGGUGGAGCCAACACUUCACAUGUCCAGAGCAGGAGGAAGACAGAGAGCCGGGAGGUGCCAUUUUAAACAACCAGAUCUCAGAAGAACUUACUGUCACCACAAAAUCACCAAGGGGGAUGGUGUUAAACCAUGAGAAAACCACCUACACGGCCCAAUCACCUCCAACCAGCACUGGGGAUGACAAUUUAACAGGAGAUUUGGGCAGGGACACAGACCCAAACCAUAUCAGUGUAUGUACAUUUUCGUUUAUUUACUUAAAAAAAAACCUAUUAGAAUCAUUCACUGUCACUGUACCUGGGAGAAAUACCAAAACAACUUUACUAAAACUUACUAAGAUACUAUUAUUGUGCCCAUUAAUUGUUUUCCAGGGAGAUGCACAUUUUUUAGCACAAAAUGCCCAGAUAGAAUUGGUAAAACUGAAAAUAUUAAUUUUAAUACGUCUUUAACAAUGUAAUGUUUUACCAAAAACUUCUCUUAUCUCAUCCUAU